This 1279-nucleotide ribosomal RNA is filed under the name Atya gabonensis. Its description in RNAcentral is "16S ribosomal RNA". The stretch from base 577 to 1279 matches the Rfam family "Archaeal large subunit ribosomal RNA", at positions 1423 to 2804 of the family's 2987-position model. The record is from RNAcentral. Lineage: Eukaryota; Metazoa; Arthropoda; Malacostraca; Decapoda; Atyidae.
GAAAUAUCAUGAUAUUUAUUGGAUAAGUACUAUAAGGAGCAUUUUGUUUUAACUAUAGUUUAGUUGGUACCGUGAGGGGAGGCUUAGUAUUUAGUUUCAAGAAGAAAUUUAAUUUUGUACCUUUUGUAUCAGGGGCUAUCAAAAUUUGUAAGUUAGUGUUUAUGGUCCCGAAGGAGGAAGAGUUAAUUGUAUGUUACUGUUUAUGUGGAAAAAUGGAAUUGUAAACGUAUAGUUAGAGGUGAAAUGCCAGCCGAUUCUUAUAUAUCUGGUUCUUUUCGAAACAAAAUCAAUUUGAUCUCUUGUUUAGUGAUUCAAGAGUUGUAUUUUUAGGGGGAUGAGCUCUUAAAAAUAAAUUGUAAGGUGGAAGAUUUGCGGUCAAUUUGACUUUUAUUUAGGCUUAGAAUCAGCCAUUUUUUUAAAUCGUUUUAGAUAAUAAGGUCUUUGUAAGUUAUUUUUGUGCUGCCUGCAAUUAGUUUGUAGAAAGGUGAUGGUUUUAAUUUUUUGUGUUAUUUAAUAAUGUUUGUAUUAGUAUAAGUUGUGUGAGGUUAAGUUAAUUAGAAUCUUUUGUUAUUAUAUCAGUUAAUUUAGUAAGCAUACUUAAGGAACUCGGCAAAUUUUACUUCUGCCUGUUUAUCAAAAACAUGUCUGUGCGGAUAAAUUGUACAGUCUGACCUGCCCCCUGACGAGUGUUAAAGGGCUGCGGUAUCUCGACCGUGCUAAGGUAGCAUAAUCAAUAGUCUUUUAAUUGAGGUCUAGUAUGAACGGUUGGACAGGAGGUGAGCUGUCUUAAGUAUGUAUUUUGAAUUUUACUUUUAAGUGAGAAGGCUUAAAUUUUGUGGGGGGACGAUAAGACCCUAUAAAGCUUUACUUGUUAGCUUUUAAUUUUAAAAGAUUUAGGUGGUUUAGAUUUUGGGGGCUAAUUAGUUUCGUUGGGGCGACGGGAAUAUAAAUUGUAACUGUUUUUGACGGUAAAACAAAUAUUUUUGGAUAAUUUGAUCCUUUAUAGAGAUUAAAAGAUUAAAGUUACUUUAGGGAUAACAGCGUAAUUUUUUUUGAGAGUUCAUAUCGACAAAAAUAGUUGCGACCUCGAUGUUGAAUUAAGGUGCCGUCAAGGUGUAGCAGUUUUGACAGUGAGUCUGUUCGACUUUUAAAACCUUACAUGAUUUGAGUUCAGACCGGCGUGAGCCAGGUUAGUUUCUAUCUUCUACUUUAUUGUGUGGUUGCUCUAGUACGAAAGGAGAAAGCGGCCGGAAUAUUUCUUUGUGUUUGAUGAAUAUUA